AACUCUGCAAUAGGCGAAAGCCUGACAGGGUUACUCUGAGUGAUUCCCGUUAAGGGAAUCUUUUGGCAUCUCUAAAAACGAUGCAGAAUAAGGGGUGGGCAAGUCUGGUGUCAGCCGCCGCGGUAAUACCAGCACCCCGAGUGGUCGGGACGAUUAUUGGGCCUAAAGCAUCCGUAGCCGGUCUUGCAAGUCUUCCGUUAAAUCCAGCUGCUUAACGGAUGGGCUACGGAAGAUACUACAAGACUAGGAGGCAGGAGAGGCAAGCGGUACUCAGUGGGUAGGGGUAAAAUCCGUUGAUCCAUUGAAGACCACCAGUGGCGAAGGCGGCUUGCCAGAAUGCGCUCGACGGUGAGGGAUGAAAGCUGGGGGAGCAAACCGGAUUAGAUACCCGGGUAGUCCCAGCUGUAAACGAUGCAGACUCGGUGAUGGACUAGCUUCAUGCUAGUCCAGUGCCGCAGGGAAGCCGUUAAGUCUGCCGCCUGGGUAGUACGGUCGCAAGACUGAAACUUAA
Molecule: ribosomal RNA, 511 nt
Filed under: uncultured archaeon
Lineage: Archaea
Description: bacterial SSU rRNA
Rfam family: Archaeal small subunit ribosomal RNA
Source: RNAcentral